RNAcentral lists this ribosomal RNA (301 nucleotides) under uncultured bacterium. RNAcentral's name for it is "partial 16S ribosomal RNA". It matches the Rfam family "Bacterial small subunit ribosomal RNA", at positions 509 to 809 of the family's 1533-position model. The record is from RNAcentral.
CAGCCGCCACGGGAAUACGAAGGGUGCAAGCGUUACUCGGAAUUACUGGGCGUAAAGCGUGCGUAGGUGGUGGUUUAAGUCCGUUGUGAAAGCCCUGGGCUCAACCUGGGAAUUGCAGUGGAUACUGGGUCACUAGAGUGUGGUAGAGGAUAGUGGAAUUUCCGGUGUAGCAGUGAAAUGCGUAGAGAUCGGAAGGAACAUCUGUGGCGAAGGCGACUAUCUGGGCCAACACUAACACUGAGGCACGAAAGCGUGGGGAGCAAACAGGAUUAGAUACCCCCGUAGUCCCUGUCUCUUAUAA